UCACAAACUAAUGCCACAACACAAGUAAAACAUAUAUAUACAAAUUAACCUCUUCCCGCAUACAAACUAAUAUAUGUAUAGAGUUGAACUGGGCUACUAUUAGUAGCAAAAUUUCAUUGUUGCUUACCAAUUUUUUAGUCUUUGGAUCAACUCUUUUCAUUAUUUCUAACCAUUGGAUUAAAUAUUAUAAUCCAGUGAGGACCACUCAACCCUAGGGGGACCACUCAACUCUAACCGACUACUAUCAUCCUGACCCUACAAUUUUUCAUCCAAGGGUUAAAAACUUGAUAGCAAAAAAAGCGUUUUACUAUUAAUAGUAUUCCAGUCUAAUUCUCUCUCUCUCUCUCUCUCUCUCUCUCUCUCUCUCUCUCUCUCUAUAUAUAUAUAUAUAUAUAUAUAUAUAU
Molecule: long non-coding RNA, 404 nt
Filed under: Ananas comosus (pineapple)
Lineage: Eukaryota; Viridiplantae; Streptophyta; Magnoliopsida; Poales; Bromeliaceae
Description: long non-coding RNA (ACOM_LNC024650)
Source: RNAcentral